This 90-nucleotide transfer RNA is filed under the name Coprobacter fastidiosus. Its description in RNAcentral is "tRNA-Ser". It matches the Rfam family "tRNA". Rfam says of the family: Transfer RNA (tRNA) molecules are approximately 80 nucleotides in length. Their secondary structure includes four short double-helical elements and three loops (D, anti-codon, and T loops). Further hydrogen bonds mediate the characteristic L-shaped molecular structure. tRNAs have two regions of fundamental functional importance: the anti-codon, which is responsible for specific mRNA codon recognition, and the 3' end, to which the tRNAs corresponding amino acid is attached (by aminoacyl-tRNA synthetases). tRNAs cope with the degeneracy of the genetic code in two manners: having more than one tRNA (with a specific anti-codon) for a particular amino acid; and 'wobble' base-pairing, i.e. permitting non-standard base-pairing at the 3rd anti-codon position. The record is from RNAcentral. RNAcentral also lists the same sequence under 1 other name. Lineage: Bacteria; Pseudomonadati; Bacteroidota; Bacteroidia; Bacteroidales; Barnesiellaceae.
GGAGAGAUGGCAGAGCGGUCGAAUGCGCGUGACUCGAAAUCCCGUUUACCCUUUCGGGUAACAAGGGUUCAAAUCCCUUUCUCUCCGCCA